This is an RNA transcript of Mus musculus (house mouse), 1593 nucleotides long. It is a transcript of the gene named fibroblast growth factor 18, with no coding region annotated. Lineage: Eukaryota; Metazoa; Chordata; Mammalia; Rodentia; Muridae. The record is from RefSeq and is marked validated. The transcript is spliced from 5 exons.
CGGCAAGGAGGGAGCAGCAGCAGCGGCGGCGGCGGCGGCGGCGGCGGCGGAGGCGCCCGGUCCCGGCCGCGCGGAGCGGACAUGUGCAGGCUGGGCUAGGAGCCGCCGCCUCCCCCCCCGCCCCGCGAUGUAUUCAGCGCCCUCCGCCUGCACUUGCCUGUAAGCACCCGCCCGGGUCUGGCCACCCUGCCUGGAUGCCUGUCCCUGUGUUUACACUUUCUACUGCUGUGCUUCCAGGUUCAGGUGUUGGCAGCCGAGGAGAAUGUGGACUUCCGCAUCCACGUGGAGAACCAGACGCGGGCUCGAGAUGAUGUGAGUCGGAAGCAGCUGCGCUUGUACCAGCUCUAUAGCAGGACCAGUGGGAAGCACAUUCAAGUCCUGGGCCGUAGGAUCAGUGCCCGUGGCGAGGACGGGGACAAGUAUGCCCAGCUCCUAGUGGAGACAGAUACCUUCGGGAGUCAAGUCCGGAUCAAGGGCAAGGAGACAGAAUUCUACCUGUGUAUGAACCGAAAAGGCAAGCUCGUGGGGAAGCCUGAUGGUACUAGCAAGGAGUGCGUGUUCAUUGAGAAGGUUCUGGAAAACAACUACACGGCCCUGAUGUCUGCCAAGUACUCUGGUUGGUAUGUGGGCUUCACCAAGAAGGGGCGGCCUCGCAAGGGUCCCAAGACCCGCGAGAACCAGCAAGAUGUACACUUCAUGAAGCGUUACCCCAAGGGACAGGCCGAGCUGCAGAAGCCCUUCAAAUACACCACAGUCACCAAGCGAUCCCGGCGGAUCCGCCCCACUCACCCCGGCUAGGUCCGGCCACACUCACCCCCCCAGAGAACUACAUCAGAGGAAUAUUUUUACAUGAAAAAUAAGGAAGAAUCUCUAUUUUUGUACAUUGUGUUUAAAAGAAGACAAAAACUGAACCUAAAGUCUUGGGAGGAGGGGCGAUAGGAUUCCACUGUUGACCUGAACCCCAUGACAAAGGACUCACACAAGGGGACCGCUGUCAACCCACAGGUGCUUGCCUCUCUCUAGGAGGUGACAAUUCAAAACUCAUCCCCAGAGGAGGACUUGAACGAGGAAACUGCGAGAAACCAAAGUCCUUUCCCCCCAAAGGUUCUGAAAGCAAACAAAACAAAAACAAAAAAACAAAAAAACAACAAAAAAAGGAAAGUAGUGCCCCACCCCCACCCCUCUCCCUGCCCUAGACUCCAACAAGAAUCGCUCUCUGGUUUGCAGUCAUUUAUUUAUUGUCCACUGCAAGCUGUCCCGCGACACCGCGCAGGGAAGGCGCCCUUGAGAAUUCUCCGCGCCUCGACCUUCCGACGACAGACGCCUUGUCCAAUCAUGGUGGCCUGCCUUGCCCGCAGUUCUGGAGGAUGCUGCUGUGGACCUUCCGUGACUCACGUGACCUAGUACACCAAUGAUAAGGGAAUAUUUUAAAACCAGCUAUAUUAUAUAUAUUAUAUAUAUAAGCUAUUUAUUUCACCUCUCUGUAUAUUGCAGUCUCAUGAACCAAGUAUUACUGCCUCAACAAUUAAGAACAACCCACAAAUUAUUUAAAAAAACAAAACAAAACAAAAAACAACAACAACAAAAAAAAAA